CUGGGAAGGACAGCACUCUAGCCUCCUCCCUGCUCAGCCUCUCUCCCCUGCCCCUUCCUCCCAGCUGCUGAGAGACCCUCUCUUUUCCUGGCUCCUCUGCUCUCCCAACUCCCCCAGCCCUCUUCUUCCAUCUCAUCCUCCUCUCCCGCCCCUGUCCCCUCUGCCUCCAGGAUUCUGCUGGUUCCCCCCGCAGGGAGCACUUUGACCUCUGCUCCAGCUGCUUUGGACCAGGCUCCCCUCCAGCCCCCACUGCCCCCACCGUGAGGGCUGCUGAUCAAGAGGUCCCACCUAGCCAGACAGGGUCUUUCUCUAGCUGAACCUGGCAACCAUUCUUUCAGCUAGACUGACUGGUCUGCCAGCAUCUCAGGUCCUUCCAUCUCUGCUUCCCAGGCAUGAGCCAACACAACAGCAUUUUACGGGGAUCAGAGGAUCCCCAAAUCAGACUCUGCCAUCAGCAAGGGGAGACUGUAACAGACUGCGACCCUCACAUGCUGAUAGGCAGUCAAGAAUAU
RNAcentral lists this long non-coding RNA (512 nucleotides) under Mus pahari (shrew mouse). RNAcentral describes it as "lncRNA (MGP_PahariEiJ_G0003157.1)". Lineage: Eukaryota; Metazoa; Chordata; Mammalia; Rodentia; Muridae. The record is from RNAcentral.